UACAGAGGGUGCAAGCGUUGUUCGGAUUUACUGGGCGUAAAGCGUACGCAGACGGCUUGGUAGGUCGGAUGUGAAAGCCCCGGGCUCAACCCGGGAAUUGCAUCCGAAACCACCUCGCUCGAGUGUGGGAGAGGGAAGCGGAAUUCCUGGUGUAGAGGUGAAAUUCGUAGAUAUCAGGAGGAACACCGGCGGCGAAGGCGGCUUCCUGGCCCAUUACUGACGUUCAGGUACGAAAGCGUGGGGAGCAAAC
Molecule: ribosomal RNA, 250 nt
Filed under: uncultured bacterium
Lineage: Bacteria
Description: partial 16S ribosomal RNA
Rfam family: Bacterial small subunit ribosomal RNA
Source: RNAcentral